Molecule: long non-coding RNA, 206 nt
Filed under: Panax ginseng (ginseng)
Lineage: Eukaryota; Viridiplantae; Streptophyta; Magnoliopsida; Apiales; Araliaceae
Description: long non-coding RNA (PGIN_LNC012343)
Source: RNAcentral
AAUUUCUUGUCGUAUUUCUGAAGACUUCUUGGCCUACCCCAGAGCGUGAAAUCAAAUUUUGUAUUGACUCUAGUACAAAACUCAUUUCUAAAUCCCUCAAGUAUUUCUUCACCUAAAACAAACGUAUUAUGCGCCAAAGAAGUUGGCUCGAGCUGUUGAAGAUUACGAUUAUACCAUUCAAUAUCAUCGUGGAAGAGCGAACAUGG